GGUCUGCAUCCAGGCUGCCCGAGGAUGGGGGCUCGUGCUCCACCCAGAGCGAGCUCUGCUUCAUGAAGGACUUCUGGGAGGGAGAGGAAGAGAAGAGUGAGCUGUGCUUCAUCCCUGGUUUCCUGAUGUAGGUCCGUGCCAGCAGCAGAGCCCCCAGGAGGCCCAGCAAGGAGAGGAUGAUGAAGGAAGAGCUGAGGAUGGUCGGGAGGAUCUCUGCACUCCCUGCAAGAGAGGACACGACCAGCACCGUGCGGGACAGAUGGGGACAGCAUGGGAACAGCCACUCCUCUCACCGUGUGGUUGUCCCGUGUCCUCCUGAGGUGCACGUGGUAGCGGGUCAUUGCCCUCUGGAAGUCGCUGU
Haemorhous mexicanus (house finch) is the source of this 361-nucleotide long non-coding RNA. RefSeq lists it as uncharacterized. Lineage: Eukaryota; Metazoa; Chordata; Aves; Passeriformes; Fringillidae. The transcript is spliced from 3 exons. The record is from RefSeq and is a predicted model, not a curated record.